This 894-nucleotide ribosomal RNA is filed under the name Triticum aestivum (bread wheat). Its description in RNAcentral is "partial small subunit ribosomal RNA". The record is from RNAcentral. Lineage: Eukaryota; Viridiplantae; Streptophyta; Magnoliopsida; Poales; Poaceae.
AUGGGGCUGAGAGACAUCGAGAUGACGCUUCCGCCAGGGUUCCGGUUCUACCCGAACGACGAGGAGCUGGUGUGCCACUACCUGCAGAGCAAGGUGGCCAACCAGCACUUCGCCGGCUGCGGAGGAGCCGCCGGGACCAUGGUGGAGGUGGAUCUGCACGUCCACGAGCCAUGGGAGCUGCCAGAUGUAGCAAAGCUGAGCGCAAACGAGUGGUACUUCUUCAGCUUCCGAGACCGCAAGUACGCGACAGGGCUGCGCACGAACCGCGCCACCAGGUCCGGCUACUGGAAGGCCACAGGCAAGGACCGCGUCAUCCGGAGCCCAAGGUCGUCGUCAUCUCGCUCCGGCCGGGCCACCAUCGUCGGCAUGCGCAAGACCCUCGUGUUCUACCGCGGCCGUGCCCCCAACGGCACCAAGACCUGCUGGGUCAUGCACGAGUUCCGCAUCGAGAACCCUCAUUCCCCACCCAAGGAGGACUGGGUGUUGUGCAGAGUUUUCCACAAGAAGAAAGCCGACACGGACUACGCCAUGGACGGCAAGGCGGACCUCGGCAGCGGUGCCGUGAGCGGAUCCAACUACCUAAGCUCCUCGUCCUGCCACGAUCCGGAACAGUAUCACCAGUCGCCUAUGGCCCCGUUCCCUUCCAUCGGCGCGGGCGGCCACAAUUACCAGCUCCUGCCAUGUGAUCAUCAGCACCCACACGGCGCAGCAGGCGUCUCGGUCAGCGAUGUCGACCCCUUUGCCGUCAUGCCACAACUGCUGAGCUACGACAGUAUCCUCGACUUCAGCCAGCAACUCCAUGGCGGCCGCAGUGCAGCGGCGUGUUUGAGAGACGGUGGCGAUGAUCAGCUGCAGGUGCAGGAGGAGCACUACAAGUACAACAGCUUGAUAUAG